This 4664-nucleotide long non-coding RNA is filed under the name Lathyrus oleraceus (garden pea). Its description in RNAcentral is "Pisum sativum (pea) long non-coding RNA (PSAT_LNC041113)". Lineage: Eukaryota; Viridiplantae; Streptophyta; Magnoliopsida; Fabales; Fabaceae. The record is from RNAcentral.
AUGAGACCGUAUGUUAUAAAGGAAACCAACUCAAUCAUUUUUCCAGUGUUACAUUAGCACCACCUUUAUUAUUGUGAGAUCCUCAUAAUCCUAACAAACAUCUCAAUCUCAUCAAAACAAUACGAAAAACCCUAUCAUAAUCAUUGGUGAUGCAAGAAUAAAAUUGAAAAUAAGAGGAAACACAGAUGAAUAGAGUGACAAAAUAAACAAGUUAGAGAUGUGUAACCUUCAAAAGAUCAACCUAUAUCAGAAAUCACUUGAUCUGUACAUUUGAUAGAUAAGAAAGAAAAUUACUCAUAAAAGAUAGAAAAAAAAGGAAAAUAUGACAAUUUUUCAGCAGUACGUAUUUUUUUACCCUUUGUAUUUUGUUUAUACAAUCAUAAAGUGAUUAUGAACCAGAGAUUUCUAUUAAAUAAUGUAAGCUAAAUAUUUAUAUUAAGUACAUCCUCAAUUAUAUAAAUCAAUCAAACAUGUAAUGAGUAACAAACCUUGACAUUAAUUAGUUUAGAAAGAUAUGUAUUGAACAUCAAAAUUAAUUAAAUAUAUACUUAUAUCCUAAAGAACAUAAAAUGUCAUCUUCUAUAUUCUGAUAAUUAAACAAUUAACAUAAGUUAUAUAGAUUAAAAAAUAUGCUAAAAUACUAAUUAUAAGUAGAAAAUGAAAAAGAAAAAAAGAAAAAAGAAUAAUUACAAGAAAAUGAAAAAGAAAAAAAGAAAAUAGAAUAAUUACAAGAAAAUGAAAAUGAGACCGUAUGUUAUAAAGGAAACCAACUCAAUCAUUUUUCCAGUGUUACAUUAGCACCACCUUUAUUAUUGUGAGAUCCUCAUAAUCCUAACAAACAUCUCAAUCUCAUCAAAACAAUACGAAAAACCCUAUCAUAAUCAUUGGUGACGCAAGAAUAAAAUUGAAAAUAAGAGGAAACACAGAUGAAUAGAGCGACAAAAUAAACAUGUUAGAGAUGUGUAACCUUCAAAAUAUCAGCCUAUAUCAGAAAUCACUUGAUUUAUACAUUUGAUAGAUAAUAAAGAAAAUUACUCAUAAAAGAUAGAAAAAAAAGGAAAAUAUGACAAUUUUUACGUAGUACGUAUUUCUUUAGCCUUUGUAUUUUGUUUAUACAAUUAUAAAGUGAUUAUGAACCAGAGAUUUCUAUUAAAUAAUGUAAGCUAAAUAUUUCAAUUAAGUACAUCCUCAAUUAUUUAAAUCAAUCAAACAUGUAAUGAUUAACAAACCUUGACAAAAAUCGUUUAGAAAGAUAUGUAUUGAACAUCAAAAUAAAUUAAAUAUAUACUUAUAUCCUAAAGAACACAAAAUGUCAUCUUCUAUAUUCUUAUAAUUAAACAAUUAACAUAAGUUAUACAUAUUAAAAAUAUGCUAAAAUACUAAAUAUAAGUAUAAAAUUAAAGAGAGAAAAAGAAAAUAGAAUAAUUACAUGAAAAUGAAAAACGAAAAAGAAAAUAUAAUAAUUACAAGAAAAUGAAAAUGAGACCGUAUGGUAUAAAGGAAACCAACUCAAUCAUUUUUCCAGUGUUACAUUAGCAUCACCUUUAUUAUUGUGAGAUCCUCAUAAUCCUAACAAACAUCUCAAUCUCAUCAAAACAAUACGAAAAACCCUAUCAUAAUCAUUGGUGAUGCAAGAAUAAAAUUGAAAAUAAGAGGAAACACAGAUGAAUAGAGUGACAAAAUAAACAAGUUAGAGAUGUGUAACCUUCAAAAGAUCAACCUAUAUCAGAAAUCACUUGAUCUGUACAUUUGAUAGAUAAGAAAGAAAAUUACUCAUAAAAGAUAGAAAAAAAAGGAAAAUAUGACAAUUUUUCAGCAGUACGUAUUUUUUUACCCUUUGUAUUUUGUUUAUACAAUCAUAAAGUGAUUAUGAACCAGAGAUUUCUAUUAAAUAAUGCAAGCUAAAUAUUUAUAUUAAGUACAUCCUCAAUUAUAUAAAUCAAUCAAACAUGUAAUGAGUAACAAACCUUGACAUUAAUUAGUUUAGAAAGAUAUGUAUUGAACAUCAAAAUUAAUUAAAUAUAUACUUAUAUCCUAAAGAACAUAAAAUGUCAUCUUCUAUAUUCUGAUAAUUAAACAAUUAACAUAAGUUAUAUAGAUUAAAAAAUAUGCUAAAAUACUAAUUAUAAGUAGAAAAUGAAAAAGAAAAAAAGAAAAAAGAAUAAUUACAAGAAAAUGAAAAAGAAAAAAAGAAAAUAGAAUAAUUACAAGACAAUGAAAAUGAGACCGUAUGUAUUAAAGGAAACCAACCCAAUCAUUUUUCUAGUGUUACAUUAGCACCAACUUUAUUAUUGUGAGAUCCUCAUAAUCCUAACAAACAUCUCAAUCUCAUCAAAACAAUACGAAAAACCCUAUCAUAAUCAUUGGUGAUGCAAGAAUAAAAUUGAAAAUAAGAGGAAACACAGAUGAAUAGAGUGACAAAAUAAACAAGUUAGAGAUGUGUAACCUUCAAAAGAUCAACCUAUAUCAGAAAUCACUUGAUCUGUACAUUUGAUAGAUAAGAAAGAAAAUUACUCAUAAAAGAUAGAAAAAAAAGGAAAAUAUGACAAUUUUUCAGCAGUACGUAUUUUUUUAACCUUUGUAUUUUGUUUAUACAAUCAAAAAGUGAUUAUGAACCAGAAAUUUCUAUUAAAUAUUGUAAGCUAAAUAUUUAUAUUAAGUACAUCCUCAAUUAUAUAAAUCAAUCAAACAUGUAAUGAGUAACAAACCUUGACAUUAAUUAGUUUAGAAAGAUAUGUAUUGAACAUCAAAAUUAAUUAAAUAUAUACUUAUAUCCUAAAGAACAUAAAAUGUCAUCUUCUAUAUUCUGAUAAUUAAACGAUUAACAUAAGUUAUAUAGAUUAAAAAAUAUGCUAAAAUACUAAUUAUAAGUAGAAAAUGAAAAAGAAAAAAAGAAAAAAGAAUAAUUACAAGAAAAUGAAAAAGAAAAAAAGAAAAUAGAAUAAUUACAAGACAAUGAAAAUGAGACCGUAUGUAUUAAAGGAAACCAACCCAAUCAUUUUUCUAGUGUUACAUUAGCACCAACUUUAUUAUUGUGAGAUCCUCAUAAUCCUAACAAACAUCUCAAUCUCAUCAAAACAAUACGAAAAACCCUAUCAUAAUCAUUGGUGAUGCAAGAAUAAAAUUGAAAAUAAGAGGAAACACAGAUGAAUAGAGUGACAAAAUAAACAAGUUAGAGAUGUGUAACCUUCAAAAGAUCAACCUAUAUCAGAAAUCACUUGAUUCGUACAUUUGAUAGAUAAGAAAGAAAAUUACUCAUAAAAGAUAGAAAAAAAAGGAAAAUAUGACAAUUUUUCAGCAGUACGUAUUUUUUUAACCUUUGUAUUUUGUUUAUACAAUCAAAAAGUGAUUAUGAACCAGAAAUUUCUAUUAAAUAUUGUAAGCUAAAUAUUUAUAUUAAGUACAUCCUCAAUUAUAUAAAUCAAUCAAACAUGUAAUGAGUAACAAACCUUGACAUUAAUUAGUUUAGAAAGAUAUGUAUUGAACAUCAAAAUUAAUUAAAUAUAUACUUAUAUCCUAAAGAACAUAAAAUGUCAUCUUCUAUAUUCUUAUAAUUAAACAAUUAACAUAAGUUAUACAUAUUAAAAAUAUGCUAAAAUACUAAAUAUAAGUAGAAAAUGAACGAGAGAAAAAGAAAAUAGAAUAAUUACAAGAAAAUGAAAAACAAAAAAGAAAAUAUAAUAAUUACAAGAAAAUGAAAAUGAGACCGUAUGGUAUAAAGGAAACCAACUCAAUCAUUUUUCCAGUGUUACAUUAGCAUCACCUUUAUUAUUGUGAGAUCCUCAUAAUCCUUACAAACAUCUCAAUAUCAUAAAAACGAUAUGAAAAACCCUAUCAUAAUCAUUGGUGAUGGAAGAAUAAAAUUGAAAAUAAGAGGAAACACAGAUGAAUAGAGAGACAAAAUAAACAACUUAGAGAUGUGUAACCUUCAAAAGAUUAACCUAUAUCAGAAAUCAAUUGAUCCGUACAUUUGAUAGAUAAGAAAGAAAAUUACUCAUAAAAGAUAGAAAAAAAAGGAAAAUAUGACAAUUUUUCAGCAGUACGUCUUUUUUUAACCUUUGUAUUUUGUUUAUACAAUCAAAAAGUGAUUAUGAACCAGAAAUUUCUAUUAAAUAUUGUAAGCUAAAUAUUUAUAUUAAGUAAAUCCUCAAUUAUAUAAAUCAAUCACACAUGUAAUGAGUAACAAACCUUGACAUUAAUUAGUUUAGAAAGAUAUGUAUUGAACAUCAAAAUUAAUUAAAUAUAUACUUAUAUCCUAAAGAACAUAAAAUGUCAUCUUUUAUAUUCUGAUAAUUAAAUAAUUAACAUAAGUUAUAUAGAUUAAAAAAUAUGCUAAAAUAUUAAUGAUAAGUAGAAAAUGAAAAAGAAUAAUUACAAGAAAAUGAAAAAGAAAAAAAGAAAAUAGAAUAAUUACAAGAAAAUGAAAAUGAGACAGUACGUAUUAAAGGAAACCAACUCAAUCAUUUUUCCAGUGUUACAUUAGCACCACCUUUAUUAUUGUGAGAUCCUCAUAAUCCUAACAAACAUCUCAAUCUCUUCAAAACAAUACAAAAAACCCUAUCAUAAUCAUUGGUGACGUAGGAAAAAAUUGAAAAUAAGAGGAAACACAGAUGAAUAGAGCGACAAAAUAAACAUGUUAGAGAUGUGUAAGCUUCAAAAUAUCA